ACUCCGGCCGAACGUGACGGUUGCCCCGUGCAGGGUGAAAAGCCCGGGGAUGAAAAGGGAAUCCGGAAUGGACCGACCCGGUGGGGGUCCGGCGCCGGAGCUGCCCCCGCAACUGUGAGCGGCGAGCCGCUUCCGAACAUGCCACUGGCGCUCACCCGCGCCGGGAAGGCCGGAAGGCGGCGACGACCCGCGAGCCAGGAGACCUGCCGUCGCGACGUCACUCAU
Molecule: non-coding RNA, 225 nt
Filed under: Caenispirillum salinarum
Lineage: Bacteria; Pseudomonadati; Pseudomonadota; Alphaproteobacteria; Rhodospirillales; Novispirillaceae
Also listed under: 1 other name
Source: RNAcentral